Mauremys reevesii (Reeves's turtle) is the source of this 761-nucleotide long non-coding RNA. RefSeq lists it as uncharacterized. The transcript has 5 exons. The record is from RefSeq and is a predicted model, not a curated record. Lineage: Eukaryota; Metazoa; Chordata; Testudines; Geoemydidae.
CAGCACAUCUAAACAGGAAUGUGAACACAAUGGGAAGAAAGAGCUGAAGCCCUUAAUCAGAUAGUCAUGGCAAGAAAGCUGUAUUUAUUUUUUUCUGUGUUGGCCCAGAUUCCUACUGUUGCUAUUUUUGUGUCUGGUUUACCCAUACACUUCACUUUAGUUCCCCAGUCAUCUGGUAAGCUUCUGAACAGAACGUGCAAGUGGUAUUUAUGGCUCUACACAUUCUUAAGGAAGAGUGCAAGUAGGUUUUAGAUUGGUUGCCUUAUAUCAUUCUGGAAUGGCAAGAGUGAGCAAGAUUACAUUUAUGUAACUUUGAGACUGCCAACAGAAGACAGAGUGAAAUUAGACAGAAGAUAUUAAUAGGAACACAGUCCAUAGGGAAUCAUAUAUACUAUAUUGUAUUGAUAAGACCACUUCCUCACAUUAUCGAAGCAGGAACAUGGCCUUCAGGAGGUACUAUACCCAAGAGACAAGCUUUUUGCAUAUUCAAGAGCUAAUAUGGAGAUCCUGUUUUAUCCAGCUCAUGUGGCAUAAAGAUCAUGAAGAACUAUUAAGCAGCUUGCACAACAUCCAAUCCCAAAUUCUAACAGCAACAUUAGUUGCAGCUGGAGAAGGGAGAAAAAUUUAGCAUCAGCUCUAAUUAAUUAAACAAUGUGCAUAUGAAACAUAAUUACAUGAUAUGUAGUAUACCACUUAAAAUGUGUUGCUUUUUAAAUUAUAAAUAUGCACACAAUAAUAUGGCCAAUAUCAAUACCCAAAAC